RNAcentral lists this ribosomal RNA (484 nucleotides) under uncultured bacterium. Its description in RNAcentral is "partial 16S ribosomal RNA". It matches the Rfam family "Bacterial small subunit ribosomal RNA", at positions 30 to 507 of the family's 1533-position model. The record is from RNAcentral.
AUUGAACGCUCGCGGCAUGCUUUACACAUGCAAGUCGAACGGCAGCGCGGGCUUCGGCCUGGCGGCGAGUGGCGAACGGGUGAGUAAUACAUCUGAACGUGCCCAGUAGUGGGGGAUAGCUCGGCGAAAGCCGGAUUAAUACCGCAUACGACCUGAGGGUGAAAGCGGGGGAUCUUCGGACCUCGCGCUAUUGUAGCGGCCGAUGGCAGAUUAGCUAGUUGGUGGGGUAAAGGCCUACCAAGGCGACGAUCUGUAGCUGGUCUGAGAGGACGACCAGCCACACUGGGACUGAGAAACGGCCCAGACUCCUACGGGAGGCAGCAGUGGGGAAUUUUGGACAAUGGGCGAAAGCCUGAUCCAGCAAUGCCGCGUGUGUGAUGAAGGCCUUCGGGUUGUAAAGCACUUUUGGCGGGAACGAAAAGGACUGUGCCAAUACCACGGUUCGAUGACGGUACCCGCAGAAUAAGCACCGGCUAACUACGUG